GUGCCGAGUGGGUGCGCAAUCUCUCUGCGCCUGCGAGCCGUCCCUGCAUCCCGCGCGCAAUGGGCGUUACUAACGGACAACUCCUGCCUCUGGGAGCUCAGAUACAGGGAUGCUUCGGGAAUUGUGGACCCUCUUGCCCGUUAUUGCCUAAUCCCCUCGGACCCAGGCCCUGGAGAUGGUGAAGGGACCGGGAUGUGAAUCUAGGUAGCUGCAGCUGCGGUUCUAGCUAAGGACAGCGCGAAACGUGUUGGAGAAUGUGUUUCCAGCUCACCUCAGUUCAAAACAAAACAAAACAAAAAACAACAACAAAAAACCAAAACCAAAAGAAAAAAAAAAAAAAAAAAACCUAUCCGGAACGGACGCACAGACAGAUUCGCUGACUUGACAGCCGAGUAAUAUCGAUCUGAAAGAAAAAAAAAAAAAAGACAAUUGGUGCACGUUAAUUUGAACCAAAUCUCCUGGGAGCCAAGACUAAAGGAUCAGAGCUCACCAAAGGAGAUCACAACCCGGGGUACGAGUUCCUGAGAACCUGCUGUAAAUCUGCCAGCGUAUUUAAUGUCACUUGGAACCUGCAAGUUAGGUAACAUCCAGAUCUCCUUCCCAAAUGAAGGAUCGUGGCACAGGUAUCCUUGGAUGGCCUGGAACUCAUCGCAUUGAACAGCCUGGCUUUGGACUCAUUGGCAGUCACUUUGCCACAGUUUCCAGACUGCUGGGACUCUAGGCAUGUGCCACCAUGUACAGCUCUGUUCUGUAUUUUGAGACAGGGGUUCACUUUCUAACCCAGCUGAGCUGCAGCAAGCCUCCUGCCUGGCGUGGGUUUUCAGGUGGAUAGAACCACAUCCAACUUACUUUCUGAAUCUUAGGAUGUUUUGGCAUUCCCCAAAGCUUGAAGGCUUUGGGGGAGACUUAUGCUUUUAGGGUAGGUCAUUGUUUGGGGCCACAAAAAAAAAAAAAAAACCAAACAAACAAAAAAACCAACCAAAAAACGCUCUCUACCAGGGGCGUAGCUAUCCUGAACAAACCAACCAAUCCUGAGGCUGUGCUCCCAACAACUUCCUGAUUUAAGUCUCACACUCAAACCAGUUUUUCUCUUCCCCUAACUCACCCAGGGCCAGGUGUCAGGCAACCAGAUACCACUCAUGUACCCAAAGUCAUUUAACUGUUCUAGUUUGCCAAUGCUGAACAAUCUGUUGUGCCCAGGUGUGCCUUUUCCUCAGCAACGCCAGCAAAGACUUGACCUCGGACUUUCUCCAUAUUCUACUUUUGUUGUUGUAAGAGCCCGGGUUAUUCUGUACCUUUCCAGGUAGCCUACUGACCUUGAACUUGUGAUUCUCCUGCGCCAGGCUCCUGACACUGAGAGCACUGUGUCUUCUCCCAUUAACUUGUGCUUUACUACUUAGUACGACCUGAGUAUUUCCCCUUGGCCCCACCUAGCCAUGGGCCACUCCCUCUCUGGGUGGGAUCUGUGACUGUAGAACCAUCUUCCUUCCAAGUUUCCUUCUAUCCCUUGCUGGGGUUGUAAGAUCUUUACCAACCCACCUUCAGCUUCUGCAUCCUUCAUAAGGACAGUUGUCUCAGAAAGGGGCUGUGGGCAUAGGAAAUGUGAUAAGCCAAAAUGUCUUAAUUCGCCUUGAGAAAUAGAAACUCAGAGACUAUUGGGUAUUCUCCUCUUUCUGUGGAGAUCCUCUUGGUGGGGGACUGGCAACGUGACUACAAGAGUCAGAGGUCCUGGGACCUCAUGACUUGGUCACUACCUGUCACACCAACACGCCUCCUGGAGACAAAGAUGAGGGGUUGUUAUUAAGAAAGGAUACUAGGGGCCAGAAAGAUGGCUCAGCGGGCAAACCCUGAUGACCCAAGUUCUAUCCCUAAGACCCACAUAUUAGAACAAGUUGACUCCUCCAGGUUGUCCUCUGAUCUCCACAUGUGCACUGAGGCCUGCAUGCCUACAUACCUUCAACACUUAAAGAAAGGUCAUUAGGGCUGAGGAACAAACAUAGUUGGCAGAGUGCUACCCUAAUGUGCAGGACGCUGUGGUUUCCCUCUGCCAAACUACGGAAAGGGUGGCUGGGAGCUCAGUGCUGUACUCCUGCAUGCCAGAAAACUGGGUAGCUGAAUCAGGAGUUACUGCUUUCUCUGGGGGCAUAGUGAAUCCUCUGCCAUUCUGCAUAGCCACAUGAGACGAUGAAAUGCCAUUAAAGGCUCUCUUAGAAUUUCUGCUCAUUUUCAUUCCUUUUAAUCUCUGUGUAUUAUGUAUAAAUGGGGGCAACACAUGACAUGGCGCAUGUGUGUAGGCCACAGGACCUCCCUGGGCAUUAAAUCUUGCCUUUUACCUUUCCCUAGGCAGGGUCUCUUGUUCUCCUUUGCAUAUGCCAGGCUGCCUGCCCUCUUACCUUAGAAGAGCAGGGAAUACUGUUGUACACUAUUCUGCUUGCUGGGACUAGAGGCCUGCAUCACCAUCUGCUGGGUUUGACCCUCAUUAUCUUCUGCUACUUUAUCCAAUCUUGGACUUCCCAUUGACCUGCCUGCCAUGAAUUAACCCUUCUCUGUGUGGGGUCUGUGACCGUAUAACCAUCUCCCUUCCAAGUCGGCUUCAGGUCUUCUUGAGAUUAUGAAGUCUUUUGCCAUUCCACACCAACACCUGCAUCUUCAGCAUACUCUGCAGGUGUGGAGGAAAAGGGCUGUUGGGGAACAGGACAGAUAACAAGCCAGGUAUCUAAUACACCUCAAGAGAUAGAGGGAAGAGACUUGGGACUUCUCUCUGGAGGGAGAUCCUAAUGGUGAAAGGCAGUGAAGGGAAAUGACCCAACAUCUGCAAUCCCAGCUCCUGGGGAGGCGGAGGCAGGAGGAGCAGGUCAUCCUGUGCUACACUGCAAGGCUGAGGUCAGCCAGGGCCACCUGAGUCCCAAUCUCAGGAAAGUUUACAGAAAAAUCAACAAAACAAAGGGGAUGGCAAAGGGGUGCUCAGGAUGGUAUCAGAACCCAGAUCUUCUGGCUGCUGCCCCUCCCCCCAAAAUCAGGCCACGCCCCCAGCAGAGACCAGCUGUGACCUGACAGCUCUCAGAGAGUUUGGUUCUCUUUGUCCCCAUUGCAGCUAGAAGCACAACCCCUCUGAUGCCCAGACAACCUUAACCUGGAGGAAAGUAAUACCCUCUUCCCAUUGUUCUUUGGAUUUGAACUGUCUCUUUUCCCGUCAGGGUUCCUAUCAUGCUGUAGAUGGUGGCUCUUUCCUAUGCUCUCCCAAUUCAAUCCCCAUCAUGGUGGCUUCUGUCCAUGAGCCUGUGGCUUGCCCUUAUAAAGCUCUAAAGGUAAAUCACUUCAGCUUCCUUUCCUGUGAUCUUGUCUUUAUCUGUUAUUUACAGCAGGUAGCUUGUCUCUUAGGAAUUGCUAGAGGCAAUUCAUAGCUCUCUGAAAAAAUACUUUUGGAGCCAGCCAUGGUGGCCUUACCUAUCAUAUUAGCACUUAGGAGUUGGAGCCAGAAGGAUCAAGACUUCAGGGUGAUCCUCAGCUAUAGGCCAGCCUGGGCCACAUGAUCCCUGAAGACAGUCAACAACAAAGGUGGUCUUUGGAGUGGGGGACUGUCAGCCAAGCGACCCUUUCACAGUGACUUGCACUGUCCUCAUCACAAGCCCGCUGUUUUAUCCUUCCUAAGCACUGCAGAGACCCAGCAGCUUUGGAGGACACCGCAGCCAUGGCUAAAGACUAGCACAGACAGCCUGCACUGACCUGGAAAUCAGCACUCCUAAGCAAGAGUUCUAAGUAGACUCUACAUGACCCUCCCUGCAGCUACUUUUAUCCCAGCCAGAAAGGGAGUAAUUGAUUCCAAUAGCUAACCUUCUGAAGACUUGUGAUUGAUGUGACCACAAUCCUUAAUUUGAGUGACACAUUGUGUCAUGAUAUAAUACCGCUGCCAUACACUAUACCCUGGGUAAAUAACUAGGCUGCAAGCUUAAUUUUUUUUAAGUUUUGAGACAAGGUCUUGACUCAAGCUGGUAUGUAAUCAGAUAUCUAGAUAUCUCUGUAUAGUUAUUUAAUCACUUUUAUGUGCAUUGAUGUUUUGCCUGCAUGUAUGACUGUGCAAGGUGUCAGAUCCCCUAGAACUGGAGUUACAGAUAGUUGUGAGAUGCCAUUUGGGUACUGGGUAUUGAGCCCAGGUCCUCUGGAGGAACAUCCAGUACUCUUAACCACUGAGCCUUCUCUCCAGUUCCCGUGGUUGGAUUUUCAACUACUGAUUGUCCUGCUUUAGCCUCUAGACUGAGACUAUGAGUGAAUGCUUUCGGUUGGCUUAUUUGAAACAGUGUUUCACUUUGUAUCCCAGGCUGCCCUGGAACUCACACACAGGAGGGACUUAGAAUGUGUUAUGUAUACUGUCACCCUUGACUUUCUGUAUCUUAGGAUGUUUCUACAUCUUCCAAAGCUUUCAGGUCUGAAUGGUGUCCCUACCCCUGUUAGGGUCACCGAGUCUUGGGAACAGGAACAGAAAGAGCUCUCUACUGGGAGCCUGUCUGUCAACUGUAAACCAGAUCAGAGGAUAUAAUGGAACAACUAAAACUGUGUAUGUAACCUGAAACAGUGGGUUCACGACUUGGUGUAUUCAGGGCUACUUAUGCCCUGCCAGCACAGGAAUGAGGUUUAAUAAAUGUUAAAUACUAGUCUUUUCUAUCAAAUAUAGUAAAAUCUUAUAUCUGCCACCUUUUAAAAGUUUUAUGCAAAUGUUUUAAUCCCUCCAUAACUACGUAAAAACCUUGCUUCCACAGAGUGACUUAAGCGGUAGACCUCUUCCAAUUUCCCCUCAUUUCAUUUGCUCUAAUUCUUUUCGUCAACCAAUCCAAAAAGAUCCUGUGAUGUCAGAUCCCAGCCAAUGGGGAAAAGUCACAGUCACCACCUACCUUAAAAUAAAAGCCAAAUGUACUUCCUGGCCCAUGUGCUUACAUUUCUGAGCACACCCUUUUGAUCAAGAGAGAAGUUUUGCCUUACAGAGAUGCGUUGGCUUUUUGGGGGUUUUUCUUUGUUCAACCCUGAGAAUAUUUUUAAUGAUUUGGGGCUUGCUAGGCUUUCAAAUCCAUAUAGGGGAGCGUUCAGAUACCCUCCCUUUGAAGGGAUGUGUCCCCUGUUACAUUGUGGUGACAGCUGGGUUUGUUGAUUGUUGAUGUUCCUUCAUAGAAAAAGAAAAUAAGAGUGGUCACCCUCUCCUGAGUAGCCAGUCUCUCCUCCCAGCUAGCUAUAUGUAAUUCUGUCCAAAUCUUAUGUUGCCUUGUGAUUUGGUCAGAGGAGCUAGAGAAUAUAGGCCAGGAAGAACUAGGGACAGAGGCUCCACCUGUGCAUCUAUGGCAGCUGAAAGACAUCCUGGGUAAAAAUGCAGGGGGAAUAAACGCUGCUUAGUGGCCCAUGCUCUACAAGGAAAAUCUCACAACAAAUGAUAAAUGUAUUUGUUAAUAUGAUUAUGUCUUAUGGUAUUAAGAAAGGAAACUGGUAAGAAAAAAUAUUAGAAGGAUACAGAAAUGAAAACAUUUUGUUUUAGAAAAGAUUUGUGUGUGAACAAUAAGAUGGCUGGAUGUUUCAAAAUGUAAGAGAAAACUAGAAUGCAUAUUCACAUUAUGAGGAUCUGAGUAAGUUAUUUAAAGUUUAUAAAAGAUGAGACAUAGAGAUGGUAUGUAUGCUAUUCAAGUCAGAGCCCAAUGCAUGGAUAUUAAACCUCUGCUUAAAUGAAUGGAGCUAUCAAUCUGCUCUUGAUAACAAUUACAAGAACUGGUUAAAAUGUUUCUCUGUCAAAGUUUAUUUUGAAGUGUUUGGGUUUUGCCCAAAUUUUAUCUAAAUACUCAACAGGAGUUAAAAGUA
Long non-coding RNA from Arvicola amphibius (Eurasian water vole), 5838 nucleotides. RefSeq lists it as uncharacterized. NCBI's taxonomy places the organism in Eukaryota, Metazoa, Chordata, Mammalia, Rodentia, Cricetidae. The record is from RefSeq and is a predicted model, not a curated record. The transcript has 2 exons.